AACGCUAGCUACAGGCUUAACACAUGCAAGUCGAGGGGAAACGACAUCGAAAGCUUGCUUUUGAUGGGCGUCGACCGGCGCACGGGUGAGUAACGCGUAUCCAACCUGCCCACCACUUGGGGAUAACCUUGCGAAAGUAAGACUAAUACCCAAUGACGUCUCUAGAAGACAUCUGAAAGGGAUUAAAGAUUUAUCGGUGAUGGAUGGGGAUGCGUCCGAUUAGCUUGUUGGCGGGGUAACGGCCCACCAAGGCGACGAUCAGUAGGGGUUCUGAGAGGAAGGUCCCCCACAUUGGAACUGAGACACGGUCCAAACUCCUACGGGAGGCAGCAGUGAGGAAUAUUGGUCAAUGGACGAGAGUCUGAACCAGCCAAGUAGCGUGCAGGAAGACGGCCCUAUGGGUUGUAAACUGCUUUUAUAAGGGAAUAAAGUGGUCCACGUGUGGAUUUUUGUAUGUACCAUAUGAAUAAGGAUCGGCUAACUCCGUGCCAGCAGCCGCGGUAAUACGGAGGAUCCGAGCGUUAUCCGGAUUUAUUGGGUUUAAAGGGAGCGUAGGCGGAUUGUUAAGUCAGUUGUGAAAGUUUGCGGCUCAACCGUAAAAUUGCAGUUGAUACUGGCAGUCUUGAGUGCAGUAGAGGUGGGCGGAAUUCGUGGUGUAGCGGUGAAAUGCUUAGAUAUCACGAAGAACUCCGAUUG
Molecule: ribosomal RNA, 696 nt
Filed under: uncultured bacterium
Lineage: Bacteria
Description: bacterial SSU rRNA
Rfam family: Bacterial small subunit ribosomal RNA
Source: RNAcentral